This 396-nucleotide ribosomal RNA is filed under the name uncultured bacterium. Its description in RNAcentral is "bacterial SSU rRNA". It matches the Rfam family "Bacterial small subunit ribosomal RNA", at positions 30 to 425 of the family's 1533-position model. The record is from RNAcentral.
AUUGAACGCUGGCGGCAUGCCUUACACAUGCAAGUCGAACGGCAGCACGGGAGCAAUCCUGGUGGCGAGUGGCGAACGGGUGAGUAAUAUAUCGGAACGUGCCCAGUCGUGGGGAUAACGUAGCGAAAGCUACGCUAAUACCGCAUACGAUCUAUGGAUGAAAGCGGGGGAUCGCAAGACCUCGCGCGAUUGGAGCGGCCGAUAUCAGAUUAGGUAGUUGGUGAGGUAAAGGCUCACCAAGCCGACGAUCUGUAGCUGGUCUGAGAGGACGACCAGCCACACUGGGACUGAGACACGGCCCAGACUCCUACGGGAGGCAGCAGUGGGGAAUUUUUGGACAAUGGGCGCAAGCCUGAUCCAGCAAUGCCGCGUGCAGGGAUGAAGGCCUUCGGGUUG